AGACCCGAAACCCGGUGAUCUAGCCAUGGGCAGGUUGAAGGUUGGGUAACACUAACUGGAGGACCGAACCGACUAAUGUUGAAAAAUUAGCGGAUGACCUGUGGCUGGGGGUGAAAGGCCAAUCAAACCGGGAGAUAGCUGGUUCUCCCCGAAAGCUAUUUAGGUAGCGCCUCGUGAAUUCAUCUCCGGGGGUAGAGCACUGUUUCGGCUAGGGGGCCAUCCCGGCUUACCAACCCGAUGCAAACUGCGAAUACCGGAGAAUGUUAUCACGGGAGACACACGGCGGGUGCUAACGUCCGUCGUGAAGAGGGAAACAACCCAGACCGCCAGCUAAGGUCCCAAAGUCAUGGUUAAGUGGGAAACGAUGUGGGAAGGCCCAGACAGCCAGGAUGUUGGCUUAGAAGCAGCCAUCAUUUAAAGAAAGCGUAAUAGCUCACUGGUCGAGUCGGCCUGCGCGGAAGAUGUAACGGGGCUAAACCAUGCACCGAAGCUGCGGCAGCGAACGUAUCACCCAAGACAACUUUGCGGAGUUGACGAUUGACGGAGCGAAGCGACGUCAAAGCGUUCAUUAAAGUCGAGUUGGCUUAGGGAUACGUUCGUUGGGUAGGGGAGCGUUCUGUAAGCCUGUGAAGGUGGCCUGUGAGGGUUGCUGGAGGUAUCAGAAGUGCGAAUGCUGACAUAAGUAACGAUAAAGCGGGUGAAAAGCCCGCUCGCCGGAAGACCAAGGGUUCCUGUCCAACGUUAAUCGGGGCAGGGUGAGUCGACCCCUAAGGCGAGGCCGAAAGGCGUAGUCGAUGGGAAACGGGUUAAUAUUCCCGUACUUGGUGUUACUGCGAAGGGGGGACGGAGAAGGCUAUGUUGGCCGGGCGACGGUUGUCCCGGUUUAAGCGUGUAGGUGUGUGUUCCAGGUAAAUCCGGUUCACUUUAACACUGAGGCGUGAUGACGAGGCACUACGGUGCUGAAGCAACAAAUGCCCUGCUUCCAGGAAAAGCCUCUAAGCAUCAGGUAACACGAAAUCGUACCCCAAACCGACACAGGUGGUCAGGUAGAGAAUACCAAGGCGCUUGAGAGAACUCGGGUGAAGGAACUAGGCAAAAUGGUGCCGUAACUUCGGGAGAAGGCACGCUGACACGUAGGUGAAGUGAUUUACUCAUGGAGCUGAAGUCAGUCGAAGAUACCAGCUGGCUGCAACUGUUUAUUAAAAACACAGCACUGUGCAAACACGAAAGUGGACGUAUACGGUGUGACGCCUGCCCGGUGCCGGAAGGUUAAUUGAUGGGGUCAGCGCAAGCGAAGCUCCUGAUCGAAGCCCCGGUAAACGGCGGCCGUAACUAUAACGGUCCUAAGGUAGCGAAAUUCCUUGUCGGGUAAGUUCCGACCUGCACGAAUGGCGUAAUGAUGGCCAGGCUGUCUCCACCCGAGACUCAGUGAAAUUGAACUCGCUGUGAAGAUGCAGUGUACCCGCGGCAAGACGGAAAGACCCCGUGAACCUUUACUAUAGCUUGACACUGAACAUUGAGCCUUGAUGUGUAGGAUAGGUGGGAGGCUUUGAAGUGUGGACGCCAGUCUGCAUGGAGCCGACCUUGAAAUACCACCCUUUAAUGUUU
RNAcentral lists this ribosomal RNA (1608 nucleotides) under Salmonella enterica subsp. enterica serovar Adelaide. RNAcentral's name for it is "partial 23S ribosomal RNA". It matches the Rfam family "Bacterial large subunit ribosomal RNA", at positions 711 to 2215 of the family's 2925-position model. Lineage: Bacteria; Pseudomonadati; Pseudomonadota; Gammaproteobacteria; Enterobacterales; Enterobacteriaceae. The record is from RNAcentral.